This 520-nucleotide ribosomal RNA is filed under the name uncultured Entrophospora. RNAcentral describes it as "SSU rRNA". It matches the Rfam family "Eukaryotic small subunit ribosomal RNA", at positions 569 to 1081 of the family's 1831-position model. The record is from RNAcentral. Lineage: Eukaryota; Fungi; Glomeromycota; Glomeromycetes; Entrophosporales; Entrophosporaceae.
AGCAGCCGCGGUAAUUCCAGCUCCAAUAGCGUAUAUUAAAGUUGUUGCAGUUAAAAAGCUCGUAGUUGAAUUUCGGGAUUGGCGCAUCGGUCGUGCCUUACGGGGUAUGAACUGGUGCAGUCAAUUUCUCACCUUCUGGAGAACCGCGAUGUCCUUAAUUGGGUGCCGCGGGGAACCAGGACCUUUACUUUGAAAAAAUUAGAGUGUUUAAAGCAGGCUAUUUUUGCUUGAAUACAUUAGCAUGGAAUAAUAAAAUAGGACGGCAUGGUUCUAUUUUGUUGGUUUCUAGGACCACCGUAUUGAUUAAUAGGGAUAGUUGGGGGCAUUAGUAUUCAAUUGUCAGAGGUGAAAUUCUUGGAUUUAUUGAAGACUAACUACUGCGAAAGCAUUUGUCCAAGGAUGUUUUCUAUUAAUUCAAGAACGAAAGUUAGGGGAUCGAAGACGAUCAGAUACCGUCGUAGUCUUAACCAUAAACUAUGCCGACUAGGGAUCGGACGAAGUUAAUUUUAAUUAAUUGACG